UCAGAAACUACAAAGGAAUUGACGGGGCCCGCACAAGCGGUGGAGCAUGUGGUUUAAUUCGAUGAUACGCGAGGAACCUUACCUGGGCUCGAACGUAAGAUGACUGUAGGUGAAAGCUUACAUCUCUUCGGAGCAUUUUACGAGGUGCUGCAUGGUUGUCGUCAGCUCGUGCCGUGAGGUGUCGGGUUAAGUCCCAUAACGAGCGCAACCCCUACCUUUAGUUGCCAUCAGGUUAAGCUGGGGACUCUAAAGGAACUGCCUACGCAAGUAGUGAGGAAGGCGGGGAUGACGUCAAAUCAGCACGGCCCUUACGUCCAGGGCUACACACGUGCUACAAUGGCCGAUACAGAGGGCAGCUACCUGGUGACAGGAUGCAAAUCUCCAAAGUCGGUCUCAGUUCGGAUCGGAGUCUGCAACCCGACUCCGUGAAGUUGGAUUCGCUAGUAAUCGCGCAUCAGCCAUGGCGCGGUGAAUACGUUCCCGGGCCUU
This 489-nucleotide ribosomal RNA is filed under the name uncultured Sphingobacteriales bacterium. RNAcentral's name for it is "bacterial SSU rRNA". It matches the Rfam family "Bacterial small subunit ribosomal RNA", at positions 903 to 1382 of the family's 1533-position model. Lineage: Bacteria; Pseudomonadati; Bacteroidota; Sphingobacteriia; Sphingobacteriales. The record is from RNAcentral.